AUGCCAGAACAACAGCCUUUUACUUCAACUAUUUAUGAUCCAGCAAAUUGGGAUCAUUUAGCUGAUAAAUCAAGGGAUCUUUUGGUGGAAAAGGGACCUAUCAGAGAAGAAAACAUCGUCUUUCAUUCAGAUGAUUCUUCUAGGCAUUUUUCUUAUUCUUAUUAUUCUCAAAAAUUAAGUAAUGGAGAAGUUCAUGAUAGAAAAUGGCUAGUAUAUUCUAAGCAAGUUGAAAACGUAAUUUUCUUUUUCUCUGAGCUUUUCAAGUCUAAUAAAUACAAAGGUGCAUUAGACACUGAGGGGAUGAAAGAUUGGAGACACCUUAGUGGGAGGCUGAAAGAACAUGAUAAUAGUGCUGAGCAUAUUAAUAAUAUGCACACUUGGAAUUAG
RNAcentral lists this ribosomal RNA (387 nucleotides) under Triticum aestivum (bread wheat). Its description in RNAcentral is "partial small subunit ribosomal RNA". Lineage: Eukaryota; Viridiplantae; Streptophyta; Magnoliopsida; Poales; Poaceae. The record is from RNAcentral.